Molecule: ribosomal RNA, 376 nt
Filed under: uncultured bacterium
Lineage: Bacteria
Description: bacterial SSU rRNA
Rfam family: Bacterial small subunit ribosomal RNA
Source: RNAcentral
GAUGAACGCUGGCGGCGUGCCUAACACAUGCAAGUCGAGCGAUCUUCUUCGGAAGAGAGCGGCGGACGGGGUGAGUAAACGCGUGGGUAACCUGCCCUGUACACACGGAUAACAUACCGAAAGGUAUGCUAAUACGAGAUAAUAUGCUUUUAUCGCAUGGUAGAAGUAUCAAAGCUCCGGCGGUACAGGAUGGACCCGCGUCUGAUUAGCUAGUUGGUAAGGUAACGGCUUACCAAGGCGACGAUCAGUAGCCGACCUGAGAGGGUGAUCGGCCACAUUGGAACUGAGACACGGUCCAAACUCCUACGGAGGCAGCAGUGGGGAAUAUUGCACAAUGGGCGAAAGCCUGAUGCAGCAACGCCGCGUGAGCGAUGAA